UGAGGCAUCAUAGGUAGUGUUGACUGCCAGGCUGCCUAGUCGUUGGUAUACAGGUUAACUCACAGGCAUCCAGUUGGUUUUAGAUACCUGUAAGGCAUCUAGACGGACAUUAAGAGGGGCUGACUCCCAGGCUGCUUACUAACACUGGUUAGCUCUCAGGCAGCCAAUUAGCUUUGGAUGCCUGUGAGGCACUUGAUGUUGAGACUGGUUGACUGUAGACUGAUAUCCCUUAGUUAAAUUGUCCUCAUGCCUCCUCAUACAGAUAGGCCUAUUGAAUAAAUCUGCCAGAUUAUUUUUAACAUUGCAUAUGCCUAACAUUAUGUGAUAAUACUAAUCACACUCAUAUUGCGUUUCUCUUUCAGUUCAUGAAGAAAUGGUGCCCAGGAAGGUAGGACGGAAGCGGAAGGCCCUGCAGGUGUCAAAAGGUGGACCAUCUGCAAAGAUCGCAAUUUUCCACCAGUCACCACUGGUUGGUGGAGCCUCCGCCCCAGCCCCAACCCCAUCUAGCCCUGCUGCUCCAUCCACCCUUCCUGCCCCAUCCGGCCCUGCUGCUCCACCAAGCCCUACUGCCCCAUCCCAGCCGGCAUUUCAGAAUGUCCACAGCCUUUUGAGGACAUGCUCAGGGCAUCGGAGCAAAAGGUGAAGUGCACAGCUAGGCAUAGGUUUCUUCAAGACAGGUUUAUAUUUUUAGUGGUAGUGUGGUAGUAACAGUGCUGAGACCAUUUGUGAUGGGAUCUGGGAAAACCAGUCACAUGGUGAAAUUUGACCUUUUGGAAGCUGACUUCAAGCUUGUUUCAAAUAUGUUUUCAUUAUUUGUCUGUUUCAAAUGUUAUGAUUGCCCAGUCAGCUGAUCAGUUAGAUUUCAUGGAAUAGAAUUUUGACAAAAACAACUUUAAAGAGAGGGGUUCUAAAUAGACUGGCUGGUUGAAUAAAGCACAUUUUAACACAUUCAAUUAAUGAAAAACAAGUAGAUAUGUUUAGGGAUGAUAGACAUGUUAUAGAAUAAUAAUUGAAUCAAAACCCAAUUUCACCAAAAUACUGAGUUUCGACCUACUAGUAUUUUCACUCUAAUCUCAAAAAUGUCCCUUUUCACCAUGUGACUGGUUUCCCCAGAGCCCAUCACAGUUUUGGGUUAUAGGAACAUCUGUUGGGAUGGCAGUAAAGACAGAAGGGCUAUGUACAGACAUUACAUGUGUACAAUACUGUACUGUAUGUAAAGAAGAUGAAAUCCUAAUAUUAUUACGAAUAAUAUUGUUGAAACAUUGAAACCUUCUUUGAGUGUGACUCAGAAAUUAUUUUUACAAAGAUACCAGAUAACGGUGGAGGAGAUCAGGAGGAGGACUGCUCCACCUGAUUGCAAACUAUUCAAAGACAGACCACAACAAGCGGCAGAUACAAACUGUCCAUCAC
Molecule: long non-coding RNA, 1410 nt
Organism: Pseudoliparis swirei
Lineage: Eukaryota; Metazoa; Chordata; Actinopteri; Perciformes; Liparidae
Exons: 3
Source: RefSeq, a predicted model, not a curated record